GGCGGCGUAGCUCAGUUGGUAGAGCAAACGGCUCAUACCCGUUAUGUCAAUGGUUCGAGUCCAUUCGCCGUCA
This 73-nucleotide transfer RNA is filed under the name Candidatus Omnitrophota bacterium. Its description in RNAcentral is "Candidatus Omnitrophica bacterium tRNA-Met". It matches the Rfam family "tRNA". From Rfam's summary of the family: Transfer RNA (tRNA) molecules are approximately 80 nucleotides in length. Their secondary structure includes four short double-helical elements and three loops (D, anti-codon, and T loops). Further hydrogen bonds mediate the characteristic L-shaped molecular structure. tRNAs have two regions of fundamental functional importance: the anti-codon, which is responsible for specific mRNA codon recognition, and the 3' end, to which the tRNAs corresponding amino acid is attached (by aminoacyl-tRNA synthetases). tRNAs cope with the degeneracy of the genetic code in two manners: having more than one tRNA (with a specific anti-codon) for a particular amino acid; and 'wobble' base-pairing, i.e. permitting non-standard base-pairing at the 3rd anti-codon position. Lineage: Bacteria; Pseudomonadati; Candidatus Omnitrophota. RNAcentral also lists the same sequence under 1 other name. The record is from RNAcentral.